Molecule: unclassified non-coding RNA, 406 nt
Filed under: soil metagenome
Description: partial contains 5.8S ribosomal RNA, internal transcribed spacer 2, and large subunit ribosomal RNA
Rfam family: 5.8S ribosomal RNA (bases 1-122)
Source: RNAcentral
GAUGAAGAACGCAGCGAAUUGCGAUAAGUAAUGUGAAUUGCAGAUUUUCAGUGAAUCAUCGAAUCUUUGAACGCACCUUGCGCCCUUUGGCCAUUCCGAAGGGCAUGCCUGUUUGAGUAUCAUGAACACCUCAACUCUUUAUGGUUUUCCAUGAUGAGCUUGGACUCUGGGGGUUUUGCUGGCUCACAGUCGGCUCCUCUAAAAUGAAUCAGCUUACCAGUGUUUGGUGGGUAUCAUGGGUGUGAUAACUAUCUACGCUUGUGGUUUUUCCACCAGGUAACCUUCAGCAAUGGAGGUUCGCUGGAGCUCAUAGAUGUCUCUCCUCAGUGAGGACAGCCCUUUGAAUGUUUGAUCUCAAAUCAGGUAGGACUACCCGCUGAACUUAAGCAUAUCAAUAAGCGGAGGA